GGUUAAGCGACUAAGCGUACACGGUGGAUGCCCUGGCAGUCAGAGGCGAUGAAGGACGUGCUAAUCUGCGAAAAGCGUCGGUAAGGUGAUAUGAACCGUUACAGCCGGCGAUGUCCGAAUGGGGAAACCCAGUGCAAUUCGUUGCACUAUCGUUAACUGAAUACAUAGGUUAACGAGGCGAACCGGGGGAACUGAAACAUCUAAGUACCCCGAGGAAAAGAAAUCAACCGAGAUUCCCCCAGUAGCGGCGAGCGAACGGGGAGCAGCCCAGAGUCUGAAUCAGCUUGUGUGUUAGUGGAACGGUCUGGAAAGUCCGACGGUACAGGGUGAUAGUCCCGUACACCAAAAUGCACAGGCUGUGAACUCGAAGAGUAGGGCGGGACACGUGGUAUCCUGUCUGAAUAUGGGGGGACCAUCCUCCAAGGCUAAAUACUCCUGACUGACCGAUAGUGAACCAGUACCGUGAGGGAAAGGCGAAAAGAACCCCGGCGAGGGGAGUGAAAAAGAACCUGAAACCGUGUACGUACAAGCAGUGGGAGCACCUUCGGGUGUGACUGCGUACCUUUUGUAUAAUGGGUCAGCGACUUAUAUUCUGUAGCAAGGUUAACCGUAUAGGGGAGCCGCAGGGAAACCGAGUCUUAACUGGGCGUUAAGUUGCAGGGUAUAGACCCGAAACCCGGUGAUCUAGCCAUGGGCAGGUUGAAGGUUGGGUAACACUAACUGGAGGACCGAACCGACUAAUGUUGAAAAAUUAGCGGAUGACUUGUGGCUGGGGGUGAAAGGCCAAUCAAACCGGGAGAUAGCUGGUUCUCCCCGAAAGCU
Molecule: ribosomal RNA, 822 nt
Filed under: Klebsiella aerogenes
Lineage: Bacteria; Pseudomonadati; Pseudomonadota; Gammaproteobacteria; Enterobacterales; Enterobacteriaceae
Also listed under: 1 other name
Description: partial 23S ribosomal RNA
Rfam family: Bacterial large subunit ribosomal RNA
Source: RNAcentral